Molecule: ribosomal RNA, 484 nt
Filed under: uncultured bacterium
Lineage: Bacteria
Description: partial 16S ribosomal RNA
Rfam family: Bacterial small subunit ribosomal RNA
Source: RNAcentral
AUUGAACGCUGGCGGCAUGCUUUACACAUGCAAGUCGAACGGCAGCGCGGGCUUCGGCCUGGCGGCGAGUGGCGAACGGGUGAGUAAUGCAUCGGAACGUGCCCAGUAGUGGGGGAUAGCCCGGCGAAAGCCGGAUUAAUACCGCAUACGACCUGAGGGUGAACGCGGGGGACCGAAAGGCCUCGCGCUAUUGGAGCGGCCGAUGUCGGAUUAGCUAGUUGGUUGGGUAAAGGCUUACCAAGGCGACGAUCCGUAGCUGGUCUGAGAGGACGACCAGCCACACUGGGACUGAGACACGGCCCAGACUCCUACGGGAGGCAGCAGUGGGGAAUUUUGGACAAUGGGGGCAACCCUGAUCCAGCCAUGCCGCGUGCGGGAAGAAGGCCUUCGGGUUGUAAACCGCUUUUGUUCGGGAAGAAAUCCUCUGGGCUAAUACCCCGGGGGGAUGACGGUACCGGAAGAAUAAGCACCGGCUAACUACGUG